RNAcentral lists this long non-coding RNA (36600 nucleotides) under Populus trichocarpa (black cottonwood). Its description in RNAcentral is "long non-coding RNA (PTRI_LNC000355)". The stretch from base 29794 to 29948 matches the Rfam family "MIR2912 microRNA precursor family". Lineage: Eukaryota; Viridiplantae; Streptophyta; Magnoliopsida; Malpighiales; Salicaceae. The record is from RNAcentral.
UAGAAGUAUGAGGUUGUAAGUAAUUACUUGCAUCUAAAGGCCAUAUGUAUGACUUAGGGAUAAGAAUUCCAGAUGCAAAUGUCUUGAUGAAAGUAAAGUUCUUUGAGAGAGAACCAUAUGUCUCAUUUGUUGAUGGCUCGAUGACAUUUGAUUCCAGAAACCGGAAGACCAGUUUUGUUAUAUUUAGGUUAAAUCUCUUAACAAUACUUCUCAAGAAACCCGCUUCUGGUGAUGAGAGAUGAUUAAUGACAACCCUUCUGUAUAGAGACAGUACAUAGCUUCUCAUACUCAAAUUGUGCUGUGUGAAGAAUGCAUCAUGCUGCAAAAGUAUCAGAACAAAAAGAUUUGGUUGAAAUAAUAGAUGGUAGUGCACGUUCCACUGAAUUAAAGGGAAGGGAAGAACAGAAACAACAGUAAAGAAGGCUUCAUGUUAAUAAGUUCAUAGAAGGUACUGGUGUAAGAUAAAACAGAAAUUAUAUUGCUUCUCUACCUGAAUAUUCAACCAUAAGCCUGGUGGUUUUAAGGUAGCCACAUCCUCAACAGUUUGGAUGGGAUAAAUGUAAUCAAACCUUUCACUCCGAGAAAAGAUUCCCUGAUUCACUGUCAAGGAAAAACAAUGUCAGAAUCAGAAGUUCAAGGCAGGAAUUGAGAAGUUAAGAAACAGUUGAUCCACACAGACUGGUAUGCUAAGAAAAUUUUCAUAGUCAAUCUCAUGAAGAUCAAUUUAGAUAAAAUCUCCUUCAGAGACUAAUGAGCAGGUCCCUAUCAGUAAAAUCUGAAGAUCAACAAUGGGAUAUCCAAAUCCAAAAACAAAACAACCCCCCAUUGGUUUUUUCUUCAAAUAUUUGAUUGAAGUAUCCUAUCUGCAAUAAAACUCUCAGUGUCUCUAAAUGACCUGAUGUUAUUAACUGUCUUUCAUGCUUGACCAUUACUAUCACUUAUACAUCAAGCAAACUUCACAAACAGAAGGACUAUAACAACAACAAUAAAUAAUAAGAAUGGAGAAUAAACAGCUUGUACUUUUGUGUUAUUCUUAUGCAAAUAAAAGGGGUAAGGUCUUGAGUUUGACUCCCGCCUUUGUCAAUUCAUUGCUAAUUUCAACAAAAAAUGAAAAGAAGGAAAUGGCAGCUGAUUCACUUGAUUCAUGCAAAUUUUUAGCAAUCAACAAUAAGAAAAUCUGGAUAUUUCAAAUGAUCACUUCAUGUAAUAAUAAUACUUUACAAGAAGUAUAGAAAUAAACAGGCUACCAAAAAAUGACCAAUAACCAUAUGAAGCAAGUUGUUGAAGUCUUAGCCAAACUCACAGGAUACAAGUGACAAUUCAUUGAGAGUGAAAUCCACUGUGAACCAUCCUCGGGUAGGAAUUCCAUUAACUAGGUACAACUUAUCCUUAUUUUGCAUAACUUGUGCAAUGCUAGUAGAAUUGUCAAGCCUGAGAUCAGGGGCACAAAUCCCCACACUAUCUUUAGUUAACUGCACAUCACACCAUAGGACAACACCCGGCAAACUUGUAAGUGUUGCAAACUGGAAAGCAUCUGAGCUAGAAUCAGGAAAUAAUCCUGAAAACCCGCCACGUGCUAUGACUAAAGGGGGAUUUCCUGCAGAAUGAAAUUAAUUAGUGAGCUUUUUUCAUUAUAAGGUCGAUUGACUCUACUCAAAUGUGUUAUAGGGUCAUAUUUUUAUCCAUGCAAAUUUACUGCAACACAGAUUGCAAGUUCACUAACCAAAAAUUGUUAUUGCAACACAAAUUACAUCAAAUUAUUUUGUGAGCAUAUAAGAAUUAGUUAAGUUGCAAGUUCAACAUUUUUUGGGUAUUCAUAAUAGAAAUAUUUUGGAAAGCACCAAGAAUCUUAUGAGUAGCCAUUUUUCUUGAAAGAAUUUUAUUGACCAACAUUCUUUUUUGUCAAUUUUCUCAACAAACUCAGAUUUAUAGAAACCUCCGGUUUUUGGAAAGCCAGGUUCAAGCAAAUUAACUAUCACAUAAAACAAUUGACUUAUCAGAACUUAGAGUGUGGGGAAAUGUAAAAAGAAAAAUGAAAAACCACCCACAACACCAAUAUCCAAAAGCCUGUAAUUCAUGAAAAAGAAAUGCAUGCACUUUUUUUUUUGUGUAUAAUGAACUGAACUGGUAGGAAUUUCAUAUAAAUUGAAGGUUUUCCAUAAAUGACAUGAUGUGAUUUCUCCAAGAAAAGAAAGAAAUUCAAGAAUUCAUUUUGCAUAAGCCCAUGAUGAGAUCAAAAUCAGCUUUCGAAAAAGAAAUCAAUUUUAAUCUUUGAAUUUAAAGUAAUCUUCAAGGCCCAAUACAAACAAGUUAUCUUAUUCUAGAAAUAGUAACCAUGUUGUUCCUUGCUAUUUUCUUAACUAAAGCUUAUUUAAAACGGUGUUUAACGAUCUAAGAUACCAUAAAUAAAAUUAUCACAAAUUCUACUAAUUACUCAUUUAUCAUAAAUCAAAUGUAAAAAAAAAAAAAAAGUAAAAUAUUGCAUCUCUUAUAUAUUUUCAAUAUUUAUUUAAGGCCAAAUCUUCAAAGACGGAAAGCAAACUCCCUACAAAUGCAACUAGCUCCUAAGCUGUAAUUCUAAAAUAGAAAAUCGAGCAUCACAUGCAUUUUCCUAGCAAACAAACACAAAAUCUAGAGGGAGAGAGAAAUCUGAGUGCGUGGUAGUGAGAGAAAAGCAAAGACAGACCGGUGAGUGUUUGCCAGGUAGUAGCAGAUCCCUGAGCAGAGACAACAACCACCAAUGACUGAAGUAGUAGUACAGCUAGUAGAGGAGUGAAGAACGAGCGUAAGUUACACAUUGCCGGAAAAUCUAGCCGGCGACUUGUUGGAGGAGCUUAAGCAAAACUCCGGCCAAUAUAUAUAUAUAUAGACAGAGACACCGACCAUUAAUCUUACUAAAACAAAUAUAUCAGAUAAUAUGUGGUAAAUUAACAAUUGAGUUGGACUAGAGAUCCCUAUCUGCCCACUCAGUGAUGGAAUCGGGAUGGCUCGAGCCACUGAGUAAAAGGUGACAAGUGCUGGUUGGAAGACAGCUAGAAUGGCGUCCACACCAUGAGCACAAACAAUCCGGCAACAGUCCACUUGUCAUGAUAUGAUUGGUUCUCCUAUUUUAGGAGAAGGUGACUUGUCAGCACGCAACGAGAAAACAAGAAGACAUCCACAAACGACAGAAGAUAUUGGAAAAAGAUGAUGGUGAACCAAUUGGCAACAAUAGUUUACAUUUAGGAGUCAAUAAAUAGACUUAUCAUUUUGACAUGACUAUUUUAAUAAUGACCCGUUGUUUUUUUAUAAUAAUUAUAUAUUUAUUUACUAAUUCUUUGUUUUAUAUAUAUUGUGGUUUUCUUGGGUUUUUAAUGGAAUAUAUAUAUAUAUAUAUAUAUAUAUAAACUAAACCUAGAGAUCUUUUCAUUAUACACGCAUGCAUUGUGCAUCCUUUUACAAAUUAUUAUUAAUUAAAUAAGUGAUCUUGUUUUUUUCAUUUUAAUCUCUAAUUUGUUUUUUUUGUACUGAAUCUUUUUCUAGCAAAGUUGAUAGUCAAUUGUUUCAAAAUGGUUAACAAAAGGCAAAAUUAAAGGAUAAAAGACUAAAGGGAAAAUAAAUGUUGUUUCUAUUGAUCUUUAAGUAAUACAUUUAUGAUUUUAUAUAUGUUUUGCCGAUAAUAAUAAUAUCAAAAUUAUACUAAUAAUAUGCUUGGUUGAGAAUAACUUUAAACUUGUUUUAUAUGAAGAAUAUCAACAAGCAUGGAUCAUGUCCAAGAAGAAAGCAAAACGAAGUAUUUAUUUUAGUGCUCAUGAUGUAAUCAUAUUAUUCGAUAGUUUCACCUACAUUUAACUAGUGUUUUGCCUAUGUUUUAUGUAUAAAAUGCCUUGAUAUUCUUUGUUUUAUGUUUUGAAGGCACCUUUAGAUGAAAGAUGCAAAAAGGAGUAAAUUGGAGGUAAUUGACAGAUUUGACCCUCAGUCGAUGUUUUGUGCAGAGCGUGAGUUCUAGAAGUCGAAAUGAAGUGAUUCUAGUGGCAUUAGAAAGAUAACAUCCAUACCUUUCUGGAAAUAUAAGUCAAGAAAAAUAAAAAUACAAAGAGCAUGGAAAUCACAUCCUUCAAAGUCAAAACUCGCAUUCUGCCAGUGUUGACCUUUGUCCAUUAAAAAUUCAAUAUCUGGAGCUACAGACAUCCAAUUGAUGCAAACUCAAUUGUGUUGGAUUCCUGACUCAAAUUCGUACAAACGCUCCAAAUUUCAGCCAAAAAAAAUGUCAUAUGAGGGAGAUAUGAUUUUUCAAAGAUGACAAUUGAAUUCUGCCAGCAAACAGGUUUCAUGAAGAAACGAAUCCAAAUUACAUCCCGAAGCAUCCAAACCGACAUCCAAGUUUUAAUUUCAGCAAUUUAGCUCCUCUAGUAAAUCAAUCCAGAAGGUCAAGGAAGGCAGCCACCAACCUCAAGCCACCAACCUCAAAUCACCAACCACAAACCAGCUGCCAACCACCAGCCACCAGCCGUCAGCCGCCUUCACACUACCACCAUCUAUCGAUGUUCACACUUGAACUUUGAUUCUUCUUACUUACAUUUUGUGUAUAAAUAGGCAGCUAAGUUUAUGCUAUGAAGAGAGCCAAUAGGGAAGGAAAGAGAGCCAAGAGAGGGAGAGGGAGUGCAGUGGAAUAAAAGAAAGAGGGGUGGCAGCCAUAAGAGAAGAAACACAAACUCUCCCCUCUACAAAUCAGAAAUCAUGUAUUCUUUCAUCUUUAGGAGUAGUUGUUCAAUAGAUAUGCAAGGCUAAGCUCGUUUUCUUGGUUGCAAGGACGCAAACACCUUCAGAUUUCAAGAACAAUGAGAUUUAUUCUUCCAUUUAUUUUCAGUUUGUAUUAUGAAUGAGUAUGUUUGUUUUCCUAUGCAUAUUUCCUGUGAUUGUUUAUCUUAAUUGCUAGAGCGGACUCUAAGUUAUUAUUGUGAACAAUUUAUUGCUAAGUUUGAUAUCAAAACCGGAGUUGUGGUAUAUAAACUUGUGAAGCAACUAAGCUUGAUAAUUGUAGCGGAACUACGUUAUUAAACUUAGGGAGAACAUUCGAUCAAAUGCAACACAAACUGACAACUUGGUUGUUAAGAUUAAUGACUUUAUCUAGAUCUUAAGGCUGCCAUUGGAUUAAAUCAUUAGUGCGGACACUGUGAUUGUUUGUUGGUUAGGGUUAAUUAUACAGCGGAUCUGUUAAUUAACCAACGUUAAGAAAAGAUAAAAAUUCAGAAUAUAAACUGGAGUUUCGUUUCAAGGAUCGGUUGUGAUUUCUGUUGGUGGAUGUGUGCUUGCGACCAAGGUUUGUUUUCUUGAUAUAUUUCAGUUUCAAUUGAUUUUGUUUAUUAGUGUAAUUUCUACCAUAGUUUAGAUCAUUGUAAAUCAAACCCCCCCAAUUACAUAACGUAUAGCAUAAAAAUCUGAACUAAACCUUCCUCGUGGGAUCGACCCCUUGCUUGCUCUAUACUAUCUUGUGUGUUUUAAGUUAGGGUAAUUAAUUUGUGCGACCGCGACAUCGCAACAGCUCAUGUGUAAAUCUUUAAAUACUACUUGAAAGCAGUAAUUAAAAUGAAUUCACACAUUUCACUUCACAUAUAUUUUAAAAGGAUUGAUAAAGCGGUUCUAAGAAUUCAUCAAGUUUAAAACUAUCAAAACUAGAAUUAUACAUGAACCAGUUGAUCAUUUGAUGAUACCAAAUGAACCGGUCGACUGCUUGCUCAUCAGGGAUGAACACCUAGAAAUUUAUAGAAACUGGUCGAUCGCUUCAGCCGUCAGUGGGUCUAACGACUGGUUUCUUUUAGAAACUUAUAAAUAGCUCUCAUUCUUGCAAAACUGUAAGAGAAUUCCGAACAUACAAUAUAUAGAGACUAUUUCAAAAGCAAAACUAGCUAGAAAUCAUCAAUCCUAACAUACUAUAAUGUUAUGCUAAAUUCAACCUUCAUAUUCUAGCACAAGAGUAUAAAUUCUCACACUCACUAUACUUAAACACUUUCAUACUUUCUAAGUGUUAUUUAGUGAGUUAUAGACAUCAUAGUUUUCAAUUGUAUUAUCUACUCUUUAAAAGAGUGUUGUCACAUUUCAAACAAUUGUAAACCUUCAAAAGUAUAGGUGAAAAACUCUUGGUCAUUGGUGAGGUGCAUCUACAAGGUAAAAAAUCUGAAGUUGAUAUUUCUUCAAGUGGUGAAUAAAGGGCUCAACAAGGAUUCAUCAAGGACAUUGUAAUCUCUAACUUGGAUUAGUAAAGAAUAUAGAGUCUAUAAUAAUAUAACACUGUGUCUUGAAGAAUUCAUGUAUGUUGUCUUCAAGGAAACUCAAAAUGAUAAAAUUGUUGAGAUUCUUUAUCACAUUAAUGAAUGUGGUCAACAUUUGAGUCUUAAUGAUAAGACCCCCAUGGAGGCUAACAAUAAAAAAAUAAACAAAGACCAACCAAGCACAAGUAAUCAAUAAGAGAUGGUAAGUAACUCUUUUAUUCCACCAAAAGAGUUAAGGUACAUAAUCUCUUACCUUUUUGAGUUAAUUAUUGACAACCAUUUUGAAGAACAAAGGCUAUAACUUCAUUUACAAAUAUAAAUGGUCAUUUUGUUUUUGUUUCAUAUAUAAAACCUAAAUCAUUUCUUGAAACUGAAAAUGAUGAUAAUUGAAUUUUAGCCAUGCAAGAUGAGUUAAACCAAUUCAAAAGAAAAUUAUGUAUGAGAACUAGUCCUUAGACAUAACAACCAAUUAAUUAUUGGAACUAAAUGGGUUUUUAGGAACAAAGUUGAUGAGCAUGAGACCAUUGUUAGAAAUAAAGCUAGACUAGUUGUCAAAAGUUAUAAUCAAGAAGAAGAUAUUGAUUAUAAAGAAACCUUUACACUGAUGGCUCGAUUAAAAUAAAUAAGAAUGCUUUUAGCUUUUUGCAUGCCAUGCUAAUUUUACACUUUUUUAAAUGAAUGUUAAAAGUGCAUUUUCAAAUGGUCUUAUUAUGGAAGAAGUGUAUGUUAAGCAACCUCAAGGUUUUAAAAACUUUCAUUUUCCCGAUCAUGUUUUCAAACUCAAAUAGGCUUUAUAUGGUUUAAAACAAGCAACAUGAGCAUGGUAUGAUAAAUUAAAAUCUUUUCUUAUUGAUAAUAGUUUUAACAUUGGUAAAAUUAACAUCACCCUCUUCACAAAGAGAAAAAGGUAAAGAUAUCUUGUUUGUGUAAAUAUAUGUUGAUGUUACUAUAUUCGAUGCUACUAAGGAAUCUCUUUGUAAGGAAUUUGCAGGAUGUAUGCAAGAUGAAUUUGAAAUGAGCAUGAUGGGAGAAUUAAAUGUUUUUCCUUAAAUUGCAAAUCAAACAAGCAAAGAAUGACAUCUUCAUCAACCGAAGCAAGUGUAUCAAAGAUCUACUAAAAGAUUUGGGAUGAAACAUGUCAAAGAAGUUGACACACCUAUAAGAACAUCAACCAAGCUUGAUAUGGAUGAAAAUGAUAAGAAUAUAGACAUCACCAAAUAUUUAGGUAUAAUCGGUUUAUUCUUAUAUUUAACUCCAAGUAUACUCGAUAUUAUGUUUUGUGUAUGUCUAUGUGGAAAUUUUCAAACAUGUCCUAAAGAAUUCCAUGUUAGUGCUAUAAAAUGAAUUUCUUUGAUAUUUGCAUGUACAAUUGAUUUAGGGUUGUGGUAUUCGAAAGGAAACGAGUUGAAUUUGAAUCGGUAUUCAGAUGUUGGAUUUAUUGGGUGUAAAGUUGAUAAAAAUAGUACUAAUGAAACUUGUUAUUUUAGGAUCAUCACUAGUAUCUUGGGCUAGUAAAAAACAAAACUCAAUAGCCCUAUCAACAACUGAAGUCGAAUAUAUUAUAGCGGGUAGUUGUUGUGCAUAAAGUUUAUGGAUAAAACAAACCUUAAAAGACUCUGGUCUUAAUUUUGAUAAUAUAUUGUUGGUUAAUUGUGUUUAAUUGUUUAUUUAAAUUAAUCACAAUAUUUGUAAAUAUUAGUUGAACACCUAAUUCAACUCUUUUAGGUGUUAUUAUUGCCUUAAUCUUAGAACAACAAUUUCCAAAAAUAUACGUUACUCCUCCUAUUUUUCACUUUAUCACUUUUUAGCCCUUUUAGUUUUUUAAAAUGCAUUUUAGUCCAAAAUUUUAUUUUUCUUGUUUCUUAGUCUUUGUUUUAGAGUGGAGGGAUAAAUUCGUUAGAUUCCAAUGAUAGAGAGAGAAAAUAUUUGUUGACAUCAAUUUAGAUCACUAAAAAAGUCAAUUUUGAUGUUAAUGGGUUCCAAUCGAUGAGAUGAGUUGUAAUGGGGUGUUAUUUGGCCUUCCUAUUGCUUGAGAUGAUAUAUUUGAGCUCAACAAGGUUUUUGAAUUCUGGUUGAUUUUAGGUUUAUGGACAUGUUUUUAGGUUAUUUGAUCCCAUAAACAAGCUUAACAAGGUCUUUAGGGUAUUUUCUAAGUGUUUUAGGUCACAAAUAGGUUGAAAAAAUAAAUUUUAUGAAAAAAAUACUACUACCCUAAUUUUUCAGCGACUCUCUAUUCGUUGGAUUCUGGAGACGUAGAUGACAUGUCUUUUGCCUCGUUUUAUUUUUUAAAUAGUGAGCAGACGAUGUGUUGUCCACCCUCUAUUAUUAGAAAAAAAAAAAAAGGCUCAACGUGCCAGCCAUGCCUAUGUUUAUGGGCCAGAUGUGUGGCUUGGCCUGCGCACUUGGCUGAAUUGAUAUUUUUUAAAAUGAUAUUUUUUUUAAUGCUUUUUUAGCUCUUUAAAAUUAAAAAAAAAUUUCGUCCUUCGUCAUUUAAGUUUCUCUUUUUGUUAUUUUCAUUAAAAAAAAAAAACCUUUUUGUUUAUCCAACUUUAAAAAAGGCUAUUUUUUCUUUUUUUAGCCCCACACUUCGUGUGACUAAAUAAAGAAUAAUUUAAGAGAUAGAAAGUUAUUAAAUUCAAUAUGAUACAUGACCCAAAUCAUGAGUUUAAUAGGUUGAUUUAAAUUUACUUGGGUCUUUUUUUUUGUCUUUUUUGAAUUGAAUAUUUUUAAUUUUUAAUUUAGUCUUUCAACAUUCAGUUCCUUGGGUAUUGAGCCUUGUUAUUUGUUUUGAUUUGCUUUAGAUGGAUUAUCAUGGUCUUAUGAUUUAGGUUGCAAAUUGAGCUGGUUAAUCUUGAUUAACUCAGGUCGAUCUAAUAUGUUGUUGUUACAAUAUUUGAGAAAAUAAUUAUUCAAUAUAUCAUCAUCUCAAUAUUAAAAAAAUAUAUCAUAAAAUAUGUGUUGGAUUUUGUAUUCAUGAUUAAUUCUUUUUCAGAAAACACAUCAUCAAUCCCUAAAGGUUUUUUUUUUUUUUUUUGCAUUAGAAAAAAAGAUUUAUGGAAAAGUGUGUUUUUAAAAUCUUUCAGUUCAAAAAUAUUGUUAUUGUUAAAUAAAAAUAAUAAUUUCUUUCCCCUCAAGAUUGUGUCGCUCAUCCAAAAUGAUUAAUAUAAUCAUAAUAUUUUUUUAUUUUUAAAAAAUAUUAAAUUGAUAAUAAUUUUAAUGAUUUUAAUAAAAAAAUAAAAAGUUAUUUUAAAGUGUUUUUACAUAUUAAUAAACAUUUUAUACACAAUUAUUAUGCUGCCAUCAACAUUUACAUUAAAAAAUAUAUAACUCUCUUUCACUAUAGUCAAAUAACCCUCGAAGGUUUAUCCUUUUAAUAAAUUAUUGUAUUUGGUAUUAGUUCAUCUUAAAAAAAAUUAUAUGUUUUUUAUACAUAUCAUCAACAAGUUUGGUUAUUUUCUAUUUCCAUAGCCGAUUUUAUCUUAUGACAAUAUUAUAAAGAGAGGUUUAUCAGCUUUUAUUGCAAACUAAAUUCUCUUCUUCUUCUUUUUUUCUAUUGAUACUCAUCUAAAUUUUAGGCUAACAUAUGAAUUUUAAAACGUUUAUUUUUAUUUUAAAUAUAAACAAAAAUAAUGCUAUAUAAUUGAUUAAUUUUUAGAAUUAGAAAAACUAUUUAAUUUAUUAUUAAAAUAAAAACCAAGAGACUAAUUUAUAAUUUAUUGUGUUAUUGAGUUUAUUUGUCUAAAAAUAUGCAAUGUGUAUUUAUGAUAUGUUAAACCGUUUAUUAUUGUGGUAAUUUUUAUUUUUUUAUUUAAUUAUAAAGAAAUUUUUUUUUGAUUAGUCAAAUAAUUUAUAUUUUUAAAUUGAACCCCACAUAUAAUUACAUUUCAAACAUUAAUUUUAUAAAAACUAAAAUAAUUUUUUUAUCUCACAACAAUUUUAACUAAACAGUUUAUAUUUUUAAAAUUACUAAUAAAAUUACUUAUUAAAUUCUUUUUUAAAAAAACUGCAAUUGCAUAAGCUAAACACUACCUAAUCUAACUUGCGUUUUGAAUUUUGUUAUCUUGACGGUGAGAUCAGCUGGCUUAAGGUUUUUAAAUUAUUUGACUGGAUGAUGAGCUGAGAGAGGUUUCUAUUAUCAUUACUUGUUAUUUUAAUGAAAGCUUCGUGUAUUCAAUUCAUGGAAGUCUGUACAAUGACAAUAAUGCCCUGAGGUAAAAGGAUUGGUGAGGGAGUUCCAUUUGUGUUACGGUGAACCAUACUUCUAACCUUCUUUUUUUAUUUUAUUGUAUUAGUUGCGAAUAAGUUCUUUAUUAUAUUUGAUUAUAGGAGUAAUUGACUGAUUUAUUUUUAUACAUUGGAUAGUAUUCUUUGACAUGUUCAUCCUUAUAUAUUUAUUAUUUUCUCCCAUAUAUUGUUUUUUUAUUAUUAUUUGAUAAAAUACCCCUCAAAUUAUAAGAACAUUAAAAAAAAAGGGUGAAACUUAACUAUAAAAAAUUAAAGAAACUUGAAAACUUUAGGAAAAGAACUUACAAAACAUAAUAACAAUAAAAAGAAAAAAGAAAAAAAAUGAAAGUACCUAGUAAAAUCUAAAGGUUAAAAAAUUGAUCUGAUUUUGUAGGACACGAGUUCUAAACAUUUUUCAUUAGUCUCUAUGUUUUUUCUAUAUUUUUAUUAAUUAUUUUAAUUUUUUUGAAAUAUUCAAAGUUUUUGUCUUUCUGAAUUUUUUAAUUUUUUUAGUUUUUUUGUUCUUAGAUUCGGUUAAUUUUUUAAAAAAUUGUAAUUUUUUAUAUCCUUAUAAAUAUAUAAGGAUAUAUGAAUUUUAAGAAAAUUCUCACAUGGAGAAAUAUGUUCAAGGAUCGAUGAAUAUAAUGUCCUUAAAUCAUAUCUCUCUCUUUUUGAAAAUUGAAAUUCACUUGCCAAUAAUUAUUCUUCUAACUUGAAUUUUGAUUUUCAAUUAUAAAAUUUUCUUUCUUUUCUUUAUUUUUUCCUAAGAAUAUAUUUAGAAAGUUUGUUUUCGUGUUAAUAAUUUUAAUGUGUUAAUAUAUAUAUAUAUAUAUAUAUAGACAGAGACACCGACCAUUAAUCUUACUAAAACAAAUAUAUCAAAUAAUAUGUGGUAAAUUACCAAUUGAGUUGGACUAGAGAUCCCUAUCUGCCCACUUAGUGAUGGAAUCAGGAUGACUCGAGCCGCUGAGUAAAAGGUGAUGAGUGUUGGUUGGAAGACAGCUAGAAUGGCGUCGACACCAUGAGCACUAACAAUCUGGCAACAUUCCACUUGUCAUGAUAUGAUUAGGGGGCGCAUUGAGGGAAGCAAAAUGCGUGGAAUGGUUCUCUUAUUUUAAGAGAAGGUGACUUGUCAACACGCAAAGAGAAACAAUAAGACAUACUCGAAUGACAGAAGACAUUGGGAAAAGAUGAUGGUGAACCAAUUUGCAACAAUAAUUUACAUUUAGGAGUCAAUAAAUAUACUUAUCAUUUUGACAUGACUCUUUUAAUAAUGACCCAUGGUUUUUUUAUAAUAAUUAUGUCUCCAAUUUUUAAAUUUAUAUUUAUUUACUAAUUCUUUGUGUAUAUACAUAUUGUGGUUUUCUUCGGUUUUUUAUGGAAUAUAUAUAUCAACAAAAACAAAAAAAGGAACUAAGCCUAGAGGUCAUUUACUGGACACACCUGCAUUGUCCAUCUUUUUACAAAUCAUUAUUGAUUAAAAAAGUGGUCUUUUUUUUAAUUUUAAUCUCUCUUUUUUUACUGAAUCCUUUUCUAGCCAAGUCGAUGGUCAAUUAUUUCAAAAUUGUUAACAAAAACUAAAAUUAAAGGAUAAACGACCAAAGAGAAAAUAGGUGGUUGUUUCUAUUGAUCUUUAGGUAAUAUAUUUAUGAUUUUAUAUAUAUUUUGAUGAUGAUAAUAAUAUCAAAAUUAUAUUAAUAAUAUGCUUAGUUGAGAAUAAGCAUUAAACAUGUAAGAAUACAUCAACAAGCAUGGAUCAAGUCCAAGAAGGAAGCAAAAUGAAUUUUUCAUUUUAGUGCUCAUAUAUAAAUCUUUAUAUCCUACUUGAUAAUACUAACAAAAAUGAAUUCACACACUUCACUUUGCAUACAUUUUAAAAGGAUUAAUAAAACGGUUCUAAGAAUUCAUCAGGUUUAAAACUAUCAAAACUAGAAUUAUGUGUGAACUAGUUGAUCGUUUGGUGAUACCAAAUGUUAUUUAGUGAGUUAUAGACAUCAUAGUUUUCAAUUGUAUCUACUCUUUGAAAGAGUAUUGUUACAUUUCAAACAAUUGUAAACCUUCAAGAGUUUAGGAGAAAAACUAUUAGUCAUUGGUGAGAUGCAUCACCAAGGUAAAAAAUCUUGAAGUUGAGAUUUCUUCAAGUAGUGGAAAAAAAAGGGCUCAAUAAGGAUUCACCAAGGACAUUGUAAUAUCUGGCUUGGAUUAGUUAAUAAUAUAAUACUCAAGACCGGCUUGGUGCAUGAGGUGUGGAUGUGAGUUUGUUGAACCACAUUAAAAAUCGAGUUUGCAAUCUCUCUUCCUUAUCCUUUUACUUUACGCAAUUUAAUUAUAUUGUUGGUUAAUUGUGUUUAAUUGUUUUUUAAUUAAUUGCAAUAUGUGUUAAUAUUAGUGGAACAUCUAAUUCACUCAUUUAGGUGUUAUUGUUACCUUAAUCCUAUAACAAUAAUUGGCAUUAGAGUCUGGUUCUCAUUUAUAAGUUUGCUUAGACUUUGAGUAGAAUUGCAACCAUUAGUUUUAAUGUACAAAAUAAAGGAUCAUCAACCUCUAGGCCACCUUUCUUUGAUGGUAAUGACUAUGCCUAUUGGAAAGCUAUGAUGAUUCUAUAUCUUCAAUCGAUUGAUUAUUGAUUAGUACUUAAAAGUGCAUUUUUAUCAAGGUUUUAUAUCAUCAUUUUGCACUUGAAGUAUCUAUAACUCCUUAACUAAAGCAUGUUUUAUAAUAACAAGUCUGAUACCAUAAGAUACCUUUAAUUUAUGGUAAAUGUUUAUCUUAAAUGCAGGCCUAUCACAUAAAUGAAAGGAUUGAUUGAUGAGUUUAAGUACGGAAAUUGAAAGGACAAAGAGAGGGCCAAACUUAGUAAAGAGAUGUUGGUUCAGUCCAAACUGGAACACUGUUCGGUCAUCGGGUCAUAUCUGGAGCUGUAGAUCUUGGAUUUAUGUCUGCCUUAUAUGGAUGGAAAGCUAAGAAAUAGGCCUAAAACUUUCAUGGGAGUCCAAGAUUUAAAAAGGCUGUUUUCAAGUCCAAAUUGUAGCAACAAUGGAGAAGUCUGAAUCUGUCCUGCAGCCCAGACACUGUUCAAUGUUUAGCCCAUAUCUCGAGUUUUAGAACUCCAAAUGACCUCCAAUUUUUAACCUGGAAAGCUGAGACAAUUUCCUAGAACUUUCAUGAUUUAAGUCUGUUCAAAUUAUGAUGUUAUCAAUUACGUUUUUGGCAGACAAUAAGAUAAGGAUUGUCACCAAGUCAAGAUGUGGCCACCUACUCAACAAUUAGUCAACAAAUCAAUAAUUCUGAAUUUUGGCCUAUAAAAGGAGGUAUUUGCCAUGUAUUUAGGCAUCUUGGUUUUUAGAUCAAGAUCAUGCUCUUGCUCUCUCUUUAUAUUUUGUAAUGCUUAAGUUUUGCUUAUAUUAAUCUCUUACUUAUGCUUUUCAUUUCCUUUCCUUGUUUAUUUAUGUUUCUCUCUUUCAUUAUGUUUAGUUAAGUUUAUCAUGUCAAGGUGAAAAGGUUACACUAAUGGUGUAAGAAUAAGUAUAAUAUAAACUCAACAUGGACCUUAAUAUUUGAUACUAACAUGUUUUAUAUUUGUUAUCUUGUUCACUUUUAAUACUUUGCUUGUUAAAUGGUUAAUCUAGAUUUAUGUUGUAUAACCCUUGGUAGAACAAAUACUUGGCACUUUCAUAGCCCAACCAUAUGGUAUAACCGACACCUGUGCUAUGAAAGGAAUUUGAUUUGUUGUUAACAUAAGUUAUAAUCAUGAAUGCCUGACAACAUUUACAAGUAUUAGCAUUAUUCAAAUAAGAUAACUAAUGUAAUCAUGUUAAUAAUUUAUAAUCCGAUUGGAACCUCCUUUGUGUGUGGUUUCCAGUUGAGUAAUAAAAAGAGUUUAUACUAUACUUGUUUGAAAUACCAUUAGUGGAUCCUCUAACCUUGACAAUUAUUUUAUCAUUGUUUAAUCUUUAUAUCAAUAUCACAUCUCAAAGCUCUCUUUGUUAUUAUUAUUGUUGUUGUUGUUGUUGUUGUUUAUAAUUUAUACAAUUAACCUCCUUGUGGUUCGACCCCGGUCUUGCCGGGUUAUUUAUUACUUCGACACUCCUGCACUUGGGAGAAAACAUCAAUCUUUUGGUCGUGUCAAGUUUUUGGCGCCGUUGCCGGGGAGGUAAAUUCUUGUAAAAUUAUAAUAUUUAUUUUAUUUUCUCUUUUCACCUUUCAUUUUAUCUAACUUUUGUUUUGUUUUGUUUUGUUUCCUUUUCUUUUCUUCUUUUUAUUCUCUUCCUACACGUGCACGAGAGUUUGGUCACGUACAUUAAGUGGUAGACUUUGUAGGGUAUCCUUAUCAUUUUCAGAAAAUAUGGCCGAAGAAGAUAACCAGUCGCUUCAUAACGAGAAUAAUGAGAAUAUUCGUGUUAGAACACUUAGAGACCACAUGAAUCCCACAAGAACAAGUGCACCCUCAUGCAUAGUUUUUCCUCCUGAUGCAUCUCAUUUUAAUUUUAAGCCAGGCAUUAUUCAACUUUUACCUUGUUUUCAUGGCUUAGAUUUAGAAAAUCCAUACUUGCAUUUAAGGGAAUUUGAGGAGGUCUGUAACACCUAUAAUGACUCAAAUUAUAGCAUGAACACCAUCAGGUUAAAGCUUUUUCCUUUUUCAUUAAAAGAUAAAGCUAAAACAUCUACAAAAUUUGAGACCAGGAUCUAUUUGUGCUUGGGAUGAAAUGCAACAAUAAUUUUUAAAGAAAUUUUUUCCAUCUCCCAGAACAAACUCUUUCAAAAAACAAAUCAUCACUUUCACUCAAAAACCAAGAGAAACAUUUUACCAAUGUUGGGAUAGGUAUCGAGACUUGCUUAAUACUUGCCCUCAUCAUGGUUUUGAGACAUGGAGAUUAGUUUCACAUUUUUAUGAAGGGUUAACACCUAGAGAUAGGCAAAUGGUUGAAUUGAUGUGCAAUGAAACUUUUGAGGAUAAAGACCCUAAUGAAGCAAUGGAGUACCUAGACUUGCUAGCUGAAAAUGCUCAAAAUUAGGAUACUACAGGCACUUAUGAGGCACCAAGUAAAACCCAACCUCAUACAUCUAGUGGAGGUAUGUACAACCUUAGGGAAUAUCAUGACCUCCAAGCCAAGUUUACAUCUUUAGCUAGAAAAGUUGAGGCACUAGAAUUAAAAAGGAGUGGUCAACUAAAAUCUGUUCAAGACAUUGUGUGUCAAAUCUGUGAAACUAAUGAACAUUCAACCAAUGACUGUCCAACUUUGCCUUCUUUUAAGGAAUGUCUCCAUGAACAAGCUCAUGCUUUAAACAGUUUCCAAAGGCCCAAUCAUAACCUAUACUCGCAAACAUACAACCCUGGUUGGAGAAAUCACCCAAAUUUCAAUUGGAAGAGUGAUAAUAAUAAUGCACAAACUUCACAGCCACCGUUUCAAGCACACCAUAAUUUUCAAAAUUCUCAUGGAUAUGCACCUCCUUAUGCUCCACCUCCUAGAAGAAAUCUUGAGGAAACAUUGCAUGCAUUCAUUGAAAAGCAAGAGACAAUCAACACUCAACUUGCUCAAAGCAUGACAGAUUUUAAAGAUACUCUUGCAAAAUUGACAUAUGCUCUCAGUUUUCAAGAGAAAAGUAAGUUUCCAUCUCAACCAUAACAAAAUCCAAAGGGGCAAUACAAUGUGAAUGCAAGUAGUUCUGGAAGCCAACACAUGGAUCAAGCCAAAUCAGUCAUCACUCUUCGCAGUGGUAAGGUUAUUGAAAAACCCAUUCUUGAACCUUGUGAGAAAGAUGAUGAGUCAAUCUCUGAGGGUAAGGAAGGGGUUGAAUCUGAACAUUGCAAAAAAAAGACUGAUUCCCCACCAACACUUCCAUUUCCUCAUGCCAUGACCAAACAAAGAAAAGUCAAUCACAACUCUGAAAUCUUUGAAACUUUCAAACAAGUAAGGAUCAAUAUACCUUUGUUGGAUGCUAUUAAACAAGUUCCUUCUUAUGCUAAAUUUUUUAAAGAUCUGUGCACUGUGAAGAGAAAACUGAAUGUGAAAAAGAAAGUCUUUUUAUCCGAACAAGUAAGUGCCAUUCUUCAGAACAAUAAUGCUUCGAAAUAUAAAAACCCUGGUUGUCCUACAAUUUCAUGCUUUAUUGGAGAACAUAAAAUUGAAAGAGCUUUACUUGAUCUUGGAGCUAGUGUGAAUUUACUUCCAUAUUCAGUUUUUUAAAGUCUCAAUCUAGGUGAGUUAAAACCAACUUCUGUAACUCUUUUACUUGCCGAUAGAUCUGUAAAAGUGCCUAGAGGAAUACUUGAAGAUGUGUUAGUACAAGGCGAUAAAUUCAUUUACCCUGUGGAUUUUAUUGUCUUGGAUACACAACCUGUUGAAGCAUGUAAUUCAUUUCCUGUUAUUUUAGGACGUCCGUUUCUUACAACUUCUAAUGCAUUGAUUAAUUGUAGGAAUGGACUGAUGAAGCUAUCAUUUGGAAACAUGACAUUGGAGAUGAACAUUUUCAAUAUUUGCAAGCAACCUGGAGAUGAUAAUGAUUUACAGGAAGUGGACUUUACUGAAAAAUUAGUUCAUGAUCAAUUUCAAACCACUUCUAGUGAAACUGAGAUUGAUGAAUCUGACGAUUUGCAAAUGGUUUAUUUUCAGGAAGAAUCAAAGGAAAAUAGUUGGAGACCGAAAAUUAAGGAAUUGCCACCACGAUCAAUUGAGUCCAUACCUUCAAGUGUUCAACCACCAAAACCUGAUUUGAAGCCCUUACCAUUCAAUCUCAAAUACUCAUUUUUUGGAGAAAAUGAAACUUUUCCGGUAAUAAUCUCUUCCAAACUUAAUGCACUUCAAGAAGGUAAGUUAUUACAAACUCUGAAAAUGCACAAAAAUGCAUUAGGAUGGACCAUAGCUGACAUAAAAGGAAUUAGUCCUUUGAUUUGCACACACAGGAUUUAUUUGGAGGAAAAUGCUAAACCCUCUAGAGAAAUGCAACGAAGGCUUAAUCCUAAUAUGAAAGAAGUAGUGAAAAAUAAAGUCAUUAAGCUUCUAGAUAAUGGAAUCAUUUAUCCUAUUUCUGACAGCAAAUGGGUAAGUCCUACCCAAAUUGUACCCAAGAAGUUUGGAGUCAUUGUGAUAACAAAUGAGAAAAAUGAGUUAAUUCCAACUAGGACUAUUACUGGUUGACGCAUGUGCAUUGACUAUAGGAAACUUAAUUCAAUGAUUAGAAAAGAUCAUUUUCCUUUACCUUUCAUGGAUCAAAUCCUAGAAAGAGUUGCAGGUCAUGAAUUUUAUUGUUUCCUAGAUGGUUAUUCAGGUUAUAACCAAAUUGAAAUUGCAUUGGAAGAUCAAGAGAAGACUACUUUCACAUGUCCAUUUGGUACUUUUACAUAUCGAAGGAUGCCUUUUGGAUUAUGCAAUGCACCAGUCACAUUUCAAAGAUGCAUGCUCAGUAUAUUUAGUGAUAUGGUUGAACGUUUUCUUGAAAUUUUUAUGGAUGAUUUUUCUGUUUUUGGCGAUUCAUUUGAUGAUUCUUUGACUAACUUAGAAAAGGUUUUGAGCAGGUGUGAAGAGAAGAAUCUUGUACUGAAUUGGAAAAAAUAUCACUUUAUGGUAACAAACGGCAUUGUACUUGGUCACAUUGUUUCAUCGAAAGGAAUUGAGGUUGACAAAUCUAAAAUCGAGUUAAUUGCUAACACCAAAAUCUGUUAAAGAUGUUAGAUCAUUCUUAGGACAUGCUGGUUUUUAUAGAAGGUUCAUCAAAGAUUUUAGUGUGAUAUCCAAGCCCUUGAGUAACCUUCUAACAAAGGAUAAUAUUUUUGAAUGGACUAAACAUUGUGAAGAAGCCUUUGUUAAACUGAAAAACUUGCUUACUUCUUCUCCUGUCAUUCAACCUCCUGAUUGGUCAUUACCUUUUGAAAUAAUGUGUGACGCUAGUGAUUAUGUUGUGGGUGCUGUCUUGGGACAAAGAAAAGAUAAGAAACCUUAUGUGAUUUACUAUGCAAGUAAAACUUAAAUAGUGCUCAAAUGAAUUACACCACCACUGAAAAAAGAAUUACUUGCAGUAGUAUUUGCAUGUGAAAAAUUCAGGUCUUAUCUUGUUGGCUCACCUGUUAUUGUUUUUAGUGAUUAUGCAGCAUUGAAAUAUCUUCUUUCUAAGAAAGAUUCUAAAGCUAGAUUGGUUCGGUGGAUUUUGUUACUUCAAGAAUUUGAUAUCACAAUCAAAGACAAGAAAGGCACCGAAAAUUUUGUCGCAUAUCACUUGUCAAGAUUGACAACAGAUUCGAGAUCUGACAUCACACCAAUCAAUGACUACUUUCCCGAUGAAUCUUUAUUUUUUGUCUCUACAAUGCCUUGGUAUGCUAAUAUUGUUAAUUUUCUUGUUUCAGGACAAUUGUCAGCUCAUUGGAGUACCCAAGACAAAAGAAAGUUCUUGAACGAAGUAAAGAACUUUUAUGGGGAUGACCUUUAUUUAUUCAAAUAUUGUCCUGAUCAAAUAUUUCAAAGAUGCAUUCCUGACAAUGAGGUAAGUAGUAUCAUUAAAUUUUGUCAUUUUGAGGCAUGUGGAGGUCAUUUCUCAUCAAGAAAGACCACUGCAAAAAUCUUACAAAGUGGAUUUUACUGGCCCACCAUGUUCAAGGACUCACAUGCAUUCUGCAACACUUGUGAAAAUUGUCAAAAGUUGGGAUCUAUUUCAAAACGUCACAUGAUGCCUUUAAAUCCUAUUCUUGUCAUUGAGAUCUUUGACUGUUGGGGUAUAGAUUUCAUGGGUCCAUUUCCUCCAUCAUUUGGUUUCUUGUACAUAUUAGUCGCAGUAGAUUAUGUUUCAAAAUGGAUAGAGGCAAUUCCAAGUCGAAACAAUGACCACAAAACAGUGAUAAAGUUCUUGAAAGAAAAUAUUUUGAGUCGAUUUGAAAUCCCUCGGGCCAUGAUAAGUGAUGGUGGAACACAUUUUUGCAACAAGUUAUUUGAGUCUUUAAUGAAAAAAUAUGGAAUCACACACAAAGUUGCCACCCUUUAUCACCCUCAGACAAGUGGACAAGUAGACCUUGCUAAUAGGGAGAUCAAACAGAUCUUGGAGAAAACAAUAAACCUUAAUACGAAAGACUGGUCUUUAAGACUUAAUGAUGCACUUUGGGCUUAUCGAACUGCAUAUAAAACAUCAUUAGGUAUGUCACCUUAUAGAUUAGUCUAUGGAAAACCUUGUCACUUGCCUGUGGAACUUGAACAUAAAGCUUGUUGGGCUAUUAAAGCUUUCAAUUCUAACCUUGAUGAUGCUAGUCAGCUGCAAAAAUUAUAAAUAAAUGAGCUUGAGGAAAUAAGAAAUGAUGCAUAUGAGAAUUCAAAAAUUCAUAAAGCAAGAAUCAAAGAGUUUCAUGACAAGAGAAUCUUCAGAAAAACAUUUGAUGUUGGUCAAAAAGUUUUGCUUUAUAAUUCUCGACUCCAUUUAUUUCCUAGAAAGCUAAGAUCAAGAUGGAGCGGUCCAUUUAUUGUGAAACAUGUGUAUCCAUAUGGGGCCUGUGAUAUCGAGAAUCCAAAGAAUGACAAUGUUUUCAAGGUAAAUGGACAUUGUUUGAAAGUUUGUUUUGACAAUUUUUUAGUUGAAAAUGACUCUAUUGAAUUAAGUGAUCCUGUAUAUAAAGAUUGAUUCUUUUUCUCACAUUGUUUUGUGUUUCAUUUUGGUGUGAAUUUUGUUUUGCUAGUCUCUCUCACCCCGGUCAAAUGGCGGAUAACAGUACUCCAUGACUUAAGUCGGUUCUUUCAGUUUCCCAUAAUAACUGAUAUAUGUAUAUAUUUGUGCAAUUCUUUGCUCUUUCUCCCUUCUUUGAAUAUCUUCUCCAACUCUCAUUUGAAAAUGGACACCACUCUUGAAAAAUUGAAAAAGUACUUUCCCGCUCUGCCUUAGAAUGCGAUUACAAAAAUUUACCGUGCUAGGUGUGCAAGAUUGAGGUUGUUAAUGAAUCAUGGAAUUCCUGAAGAUAUUCGUUGGCUGAUUGAAGCAAAGAUCUGAUUAUCAGGUGAGUACUCCAAUUCUUUCAUCUCAUACAUGCCUGGAACAGGUAAAAGCACUUUUGCAAAGAAACGUCGUGCAAAACGACUGAAACUCUACCACCGAUGUGCCAGAUGGACUUGUAAUGCAACAUGUCGUUCUUUAGGAAUGGUAUCUAUAAACCGUGAAGAUAAAAUACAAUUCAUUAAGGAUGGCCUGAGUAAGGGGUCUUUAGAUAAUCUUCUAUUGACUCUUGAGACGCAUCCUGGUGGAGAUGUGCAUCGUGCAAUUCAUGAUUUAUGGCCACAAUUCCAUAAAGAACAUGAUAGACUUAGUCUUGGGAAUCUAACUAUAAAAGACCCUGUUUGCCAGUUUUUAAGAAAACUGGAUGGGAAGCCUAUCCCCGACCCAUAGAGGGCGUUUAAGCUGUUCUUGGACGUAAAACCAAGGGAAGAUGUGAGCCACAAUCACAACUACCUGUACAUACACAUGCUUUUUCAAAAUAAGUAAGUAAAUAAAUAGAGAGAGUGUGUGAGACUCCAGCUAGCCUACAUAUAAGUGGUAUGAUUGUAUUUUUAAUUUCUCAUCUAUAAAAUAUUUUCUUUCUUCCCUUCAUUUCUACUUAACCCAUACAUUCAACUCUUAUUAGGAUGGCAGAGUAAGGAGGAAUUUUAUUGACUCUUGAGACGCAUCUUAGUAAAUAGUUUUAUCAAGGCCUAUCAGAAUACUUCUUGAAAUAUUCAUGUUUACAAACUCUCGCAUUGUUAUCACUUGAUUCUGCUCAUAUACUCAUUUAACAAGUAUUCUUAAACCUUUAUUUUCACACACACACUCUAACAUAUGAUUGUGGGUCACACAUUGGAUUAUUACAUUAUUUAUGUUCUUUUGUUAAAGGUAACAACUAAGGAAAAAGGGAUAGUAUAUAAUUUGAAAAAAAAAACAAAUUGAUAAUAUUGAUGAUAAUAAAAACGUAGAUAAGUUUGGUUUCGUAGCCUCCCUAACCUAAGCAAUUAAGCCCGAAGAGGUGUUUUAACACCUAAUACCCUAAAGUCAACUGACUUGGGAGCUAUUGGUCCAAAACUUGUUACAUGGGUUAAGGAGAAAAGCUUAAGAAAAUCAAACAUUGCAUUAUCUACGUAUUAGUAUCUGCAACUCAAGUUACUAAGCUCGUAGGGGUGUCUCAACACCUAAUGCUCUAAGACCAACUGGUCUAGGAGUCAUUAGCCGAAAGCUCGUUACAUGGGUUAAAGAUGCAUUGUAUUUUAAGUUAUAUGUAUAUAUAUUUAAAAGAAAAAAAAGAGAAAAAAAAAAGAAAAAAAAGAAGAUAAUAAUCUCAACCCAAGAAAGUUAACCUUAAACAUUAGAAUAGAAUAUUAUUUUCUUCCAAUAAAAGCCCCAUCAUCUAUGUUUUCAUACAUUGAGCAUAUAAAAAGGAAGAUUUAUUAAUAUUUUGUUUAAGAGAUAUUGAGCAAAUAUAUAAAUUUAAUGAGAGUUUGUUUAUCUGGAUAGAUUAAUGGAAGUUGAAUGAUGAAUGCCUUGCUUUGUGGAAUUUGCAAAUUGUUUUUCUAUUUUAACGCUUUGAUUACUAGGGACUAGUAAUAAGCUGGUUGGGGGGGUGUGAUUAGUACUUAAAAAUGCAUUUUUAUCAAGGUUUUAUAUCAUCAUUUUGCACUUGAAGUAUCUACAACUCAUUAACUAAAGCAUGUUUUAUAAUAACAAGUCUGAUACCAUAAGAUACCUUUAAUUUAUGGUAAAUGUUUAUCUUAAAUGCAGGCCUAUCACAUAAAUAAAAGGAUUGAUUGAUGAGUUUAAGUACAGAAAUUGAAAGGACAAAGAGAGGGCCAAACUUAGAAAAGAGAUGUUGGUUCAGUCCAAAUUGGAACACUGUUCGGUCAUCGGGUCAUAUCUGAAGCUGUAGAUCUUGGAUUUAGAUCUGCCUUAUAUGGAUGGAAAGCUAAGACAUAGGCCUAAAACUUUCAUAAGUCCAAGAUUUAAAAAGGCUGUUUUCAAGUCCAAAUUGUAGCAACAAUGGAGAAGUCUGAAUCUGUCCUGCAGCCCAGACACUGUUCAGUGUUCAGCCCAUAUCUCGAGUUUUAGAAGUCCAAAUGACCUCUAAUUUUUAGCUUGGAAAUCUGAGACAAUUUCCUAGAACUUUCAUGAUUUAAGUCUGUUCAAAUUAUGACGUUAUCAAUGACCUUUUUGGCAAACAAGAAGAUAAGGAUUGUCACCAAGUCAAGAUGUGGCCAUCCACUCAACAAUUAGUCAACAAAUCAAUAGUUCCGAAUUUUAGCCUAUAAAAGGAGGCAUUUGCCAAGUAUUUAGGCAUCUUGGUUUUUAGAUCAAGAUCAUGCUCUUGCUCUCUCUUUAUAUUUUGUAAUGCUUAAGUUUUGCUUAUAUUAAUCUCUUACUUAUGCUUUUCAUUUCAUUUCCUUGUUUAUUUAUGUUUCUCUCUUUCAUUAUGUUUAGCUAAGUUUAUCAUGUCAAGGUGAAAAGGUUACACUAAUGGUGUAAGAAUAAGUAUAAUAUAAACUCAACAUGGACCUUAAUAUGUGAUACUAACAUGUUUUAUAUUUGUUAUCUUGUUCACUUUUAAUACUUUGCUUGUUAAAUGGUUAAUCUAGAUUUAUUUUGUAUACCUUUGGUACAACAAAUACUUGGCACUUUUAUAGCCCAACCAUAUGGUAUAACCGACACCUGUGCUAUGAAAGGAAUUUGAUUUGUUGUUAACAUAAGUUAUAAUCAUGAAUGCCUGACAACAUUUACAAGUAUUAGCAUUAUUCAAAUAAGAUAACUAAUGUAAUCAUGUUAACAAUUUAUAAUCCGAUUGGAACCUCCUUUGUGUGUGGUUUCCAGUUGAGUAAUAAAAAGAGUUUAUACUAUACUUGUUUGAAAUACCAUUAGUGGAUCCUCUAACCUUGACAAUUAUUUUAUGCUUGUUUAAUCCUUAUAUCAAUAUCACAUCUCAAAGCUCUCUUUGUUAUUGUUGUUGUUGUUAUUGUUGUUGUUGUUGUUGUUUUUUAUAUACAAUUAACCUCCCUGUGGUUCGACCCCGGUCUUGCCGGGUUAUUUAUUGCUUCGACACUCCUGCACUUGGAAGAAGACAUCAAUUUUUUGGUCGUGUCAAUUAUAAAAUAUAAGGAUAGAGAAUAGACCUUUUAAACCUACCAGAACCGAAAAUGGUGUUACAAUUCCUAAGGCUAUGAGUGAGUAUAUGAUGGAAAUGGUGUUACAUUAUCCAUUGCAUGAAAAGUGUUAAAGACUCUUUAUGGUACUCACACACAAGAUCAUAUUCAACAAAUCAAUGGCGAGUUACAGUCCUUGAAUAAAUGUACUUAUUCUUUAAAAGAUUAUUUACACAAAGAAAAAUCUUUGGUUGUCUCUUUAUGGUGCAGGAAAACCAAUGGAUGACGAUGAGUUCAUCAUUUGCAUUUUUCAAGGAUUAGGAUCUGAAUUUGAUCUUAUAGUAGCAACAUUGAAUGCAAGAGAUAUUUUUCCAUCUUUUGAAGGAGUUAUUGGCAAACUCCGUGAAUUUGAAAUUCGACUUCAAGGAGCACGAGCAACUACUUCCAACAUUGGUUUUUAUACAAAUCGUGGCUGAAAAAACUCAAAGCCAUGGGUGAACCCCGGCACUCAAGGCUACAAUAAUCACAAUUUCACUAGAAGAAAUUCCACGGACAGUACUUCAUCAUCACGAGCUAAAAAGACUUGAUUCCCUCACUUUAAUAUAGGCUCAUCUAGAACUCGUCAGAAAUAAUUCUCACAUAAUGGUGGUCGUGGAUGGCAUCACUUGUUUUCAAUGUGGGGGGGCUUAAUCACAAAGCAGCCAGAUGUUUUGCUUCUGAUGAAGAUCAAUAAAAAGCUUUUGCUAAUAUCAAAAUUAGAGAAACUACAGAAGAGAUCUGGUAUUCUGUCACUGGUACAAACCAACUUAUGACCUCUAACACAAAUGAAGUUCAAGGUAUUAACUCUUAUCUUGGCAAUGAUUCUUUCAUGGUUGGUAAUGGUCAUGACUUGCCUAUCACUAGCACUUGACACAUUAUUUUUCUUACCACUAAUUUUAAGUUAAAUGAUGUUCAUGUGGUUCCUGCAAUUAAGAAGAAACUAUCAUAUGUCUCUCAAUUUAUAAGAGAAAUUAAUUGUUAUUUUUUGUUUUAUCCAUGGGGAUUUGUUUUCAAGGACAUGAAGAUGAAGUAGGUAGUCCUUAAGGGCUCCAUAAAGGAUGGUUGUAUCCGAUCAACCUGCAACAACUUUCAACAUCUUCAAUCAGUUUUUUAGCCAAUAAAGUAUCUAGCAACUUAUGGCAUGCAUGACUUGACCAUCCUCAAGCCCGGAUUCUUAUAAAGUUAUGUUUACCAUCUAUAAAUAAACAAAAUGCUUUCUAUGAAGGCUAUGUUUUGGGAAAAUCAACAAAGUUACCAUUUGAAUCUCGUAAAUCCUAUGCUACUUCUUUUCUGUAUACACUUCACACAGAUGUAUGAGGUCCUGCAUCUGUUUCUUCUUAUGAUGGCUAUUAGUUUUACUUAAUCAUUGUUGAUGAAUAUUCUUGAUGUAUAUGGUUCUUUCUUAUAAAUCAUAAAUCUGACGUAGCAACAAUAUUUUCUACAUUCCUCAAGCAAAUGGAAAAACAAUUUGAUGUUUAUGUUAAAAUAACUCAAAGUGAUGAGGGUGGUGAGUUUGUUAAUCAAAGCCUGCAUAAUCUUUUCAAAACUAAUGGUAUCAUUCAUAGAUUCUUAUGUCCAUAAACAUCAGAACAAAAUGAAUUGGCUGAACGUCGUCAAUGGCAUAUUGUGGAAUAUGGAUUAACAUUGUUAUCACAUGCUUCUAUUACGAUACAAUUCUGAAUAGCAGCCUUUUGUACUGUAAUAUUUCUAAUAAAUCGUCUACCUACUUCAGUUCUUGGUUACAACUCACCGCAUAAAGUUAUUUUCAGUUAUGCUUCUGCUUAUAAUUCCCUACAAGUUUUUGGGUGCUCCUGCUACCCAUUACUUGCACAAUUUGGUUGAUCAAAAUUGGACUUUAAAUCCACAUGGUGUGUGUUUCUUGGUUAUUCAAAUAAUCAUAAAGGAUAUCUUUGUCUUGAACCUUAGACAAGUCGCCUCUACAUAUCUCAUCAUGUGAAAUUUAAUGAAUCUCAGUUUCCCUACAGAUGCAUGCAGAAACGUGACACACAUGUUUCUCAGUUAUUUAAAGUCAGAGCACUUCCUCGACUACUCAAGACCAUGACUGAAAAAACAAAUGUCUCAACUCAAUAAAUAAUACAUCAUGUUUCAGCAAAAAAUGUCCAAAGUGUAUGAGUAUCUCAGUCUCCAAUUCCUGAACCAAUUCCUCCAUUCACUGCACUAGAAUUCAAUACUUUAGCACCAGAGGAUUCUCCCAUACUUGCUCCACAACAACAUCAUCAUAUGGUUACACGGGCUCAAAUAGGGAAGCUAAAACCCAAGGUAUUGUUCUCUUCAUAAUAUUCAAUACCUGCUUGUUUUGUUGCUGACCUUAUCACUCAACAACAAGACCUAGCGUACUUCAACAUCUGCAAUGGCAUCAAGCAAUGCAAGUUGAAAUGGAUGCUCUUCACACCAACAACACCUGAAAUUUGGUACCUAGAGAGCCAAACAUGAAUGUUAUCAGUAGUAAAUGGGUGUUCAAAAUCAAAACACGAUCUGAUACCUCUAUUGAAAGGUAUAAAGCUCAACUAGUGACUCGUGGAUUUACACAACAACCAAGCCUAGAUUAUGAUGAAACCUUUAGUCCAGUCAUCAAACCAAGUACUAUUUAGUUAAUCUUUACCAUUGGGCUAUCUCAAAGCUUGUCUAUCAGAUAACUAGAUGUUAGUAAUGCCUUUUUUCAUGGUGACCUACACGAAUAAGUAUAUUUGGCUCAACCCCAGGUUUUGAGGAUUUCUCCCAUCCAGAUCAUGUUUAUCAUCUCCAUAAAGCUUUGUAAGGUUUAAAGCAGCCCCUCGCGUCUAGUACCUAAAAUUCAGUACUUAUAUCCAGCAAAUGAGAUUCAUAUAAUGUCCCUAUGAUCAAUCUUUAUUCUCGCACUCAAGGAUCAGGCAUUCUUCUUUUACUUAUUUAUGUUAAUGACAUUCUUUUAAUAGGAAGUUCCUCUUCACAGAUUGACAAGUUUAUUACACACCUAUCUUUCAUCUUUCAUAUGAAAGAUCUUGGUGAUAUUCAUUACUUCUUAAGUCUUCAAAUCAUUUGCCAUGCAUCCACUGUCACUCAUACAAGGUAUUUACUGUCUCUUCUUCAAACGUUUGGUCUUGAUGGCACCAAACUUGUAAGCACUCCACUAGUAUGGGGGCCUUCUAUGUAUGCUGUUGAUGGUGCUCCCUUAGUUAAUCCUUUCCUUUAUCGCUGUUUGGUUGGCUCAUUAUAAUAUCUCACUCUAACCAGACUCGACAUCUCCUAUGUUGUUCAUCAAGUCUGUCAAUUCAUGCAAACACCCCAUGAUAUUCACCUCAUUGUUGUUAAGAGGAUUUUUCGGUAUCUGAAGGGUACUCUCAAUGUUGGUCUUCACUACGUCUGUACCCCUAUUCAUAAACUUCGUGGUUUUUGUGAUGUCGAUUGGGCUAGUUGCAGGGAUGAUAAACAUUUCAUUACUGGUUUUGCUAUCUUUUUAAGCGAUAAUUUGAUAUCUUAAAGCGCUAAGAAACAAGCUAUUGUGUCUCGAUCGACAACUGAAGCUAAAUACUGUGUCUUAACCUUAACUACAAGUGAGCUUAUUUGGUUUGUGCAUUUACUAAAGAAUAUUGGCUAUUGUGUCCCUCCUUCUACGUUGUAUAGUGACAAUAUUAGUGCCAUUCAUAUGGCCAAGAAUCCAAUGUUCCAUCACCGUAUAAAACACAUCAAAAUUGAUGUUCACUUUGUUCAUGAAUGGGUUGCGUGUGGUGUUCUCUCUUUGGUAUACAUUCCAGGAUCGGAUCAAAUUGCAGAUAUUUUUACCAAAUCCCUUUAUGCUAUAAAAUUUAUUCCAAAUCAUGGCAAGCUCUGUCUCAGUCCAGUCCCGCCUUGAGCUUGAGGGGGGAUGAUGAGAUAUAGAGAUAUGCAGAUGCUGAGAUCCUGCUGAGAUCUCUUUACUGAGAGAUCCUCUACUGGGAUCUCUAUGUCAGGAUCCUCCCUAUUUAUUCACUUCAUGGUCUCCACAAUAUUUGUAAUUCAAUAUGUUUCUAUAAUCUCUGUAGACAAAUUAUAUAUAUAUAUAUAUAUAUAGCAAGAAUCAAUCCUACAUAAAUGUCCAGUAAUGCCUAUUUAUAGGUAAUAACAAUACAUAGAAAUAUAAGUUCACCAUUUCCUAUAAGCAUCAUCUUUUUAUUUUUCAAUAAUAAUGUGCUAUAAAUAAUUGGUAGGUUGAGAGACCUUUUGAGAAGGAGCCCUUAUAGAUUAUGAUGCUAAAAAAUAAGAAACUAUAUUAGAAGACAAGUUAUCCAAUAAGGUAUAAUGAAUAACUAAAGUAUAAAGAUUUCUCACCAAAAGUUUGUUUUGCUCAAUUUUCUAGCUGAUCUACUAGCUAAAUUUUUAGUAAGCCUUCUCUUACCAUCUUUUGUAAAAGGUUCUUCAUCAUAUAAAAGUUUCUUAGCCAUCUUUUUUAAAGAAAGGUUUAAGAUGACAUAUUAUAGCUUUCUUGUACAAUAGAAAAAACCUUAAUUAAUUUCCUAAUAUUAGCAUAAAGUCUCUCACACUAUAGAAUCCAAAAUUAUGUUUUGUUAACUAUGUUACAUUUUUCACUUCCUUUAGCAUUUUGAAAAUUAUUAUCUAGAUUAGAACUAUUAAUGGUAUAUUACAUUAGAAAUGGAACACAUUAUACAAACUUCGAUUGUCUUGCCACGAAAUAGAGGUUAUAGGGCUCAUAAGAACAAUAGUUUCCUUUAUAAUAAAUCUAUCACUAAACUAAAUUGUAGAUCCUUUUAGGUUAGAAUAAUUUUUCACACUACAAUGUUCUCCUCUCCCUUACAAUUUAUACUUUGAUGUUUAAGAAUCAAUAGUCAUCUAGGGCAUGUUCUCAUAGACAUUAAAAUGAUCAUGGAUCGGUUAUUCCUCCUUGUCAUGGAUAGAAAAAUAUCUAGGUAUCUCUUGAAAGGAAAGUUGUGGAAAUGGAUCAUUUUGUCCUCUACAAAUUAAUAGGGAGUCCAAAUUUGACUACACGACACUAGAUUCAUGGAAAUUUAUAGUUUCCCAUGCUUAAAUCCACCAUAAAAUUCAAUAAAAGUUUCCUUUUAUCAUGAAAGGGUGGUUGGUCUUCACCUCUCACUUGGCAUUCCUCUAAUACCAUAUAUAUAUGUGUGUGUGUGUGUGUGUGUGUGUGUGUGUGUGUGUGUGUGAUUUAACAUAAAAGGUCUUAGGAUAAUUUACAUUAUCAAAAAAUAGUAAUAAAUAACCCGACAAGACUAAGGUUGAAUCACAGGGAGGUGAACUAUAUAAAAUUAUAAACAACAAAUGAAAAGGAGUUGAAGAGAACUUUUGAAAUGUGAUAUUGAUGUGAGUAUUAAUCAAAGAUAAAAGCAAUUGUCAAGGUUAGAGGAUCAACUAAUAGUAUUAGAAAUAAGUAUAGUAUAAACUUUUUUUAUUAAUCAACUGGAAACCACACACAAAGAAGGUUCAAAUCAGAUGAUUUAUCCUUAAUAGUUCAUUAUAAAUUUUUAACAUGAUCAUAUUGAUUAUCUUAUUUUAGUAACACCAUACUUUUAAAUAUUGUCAGGAAUUCAUGAUGUUAACUUAUGUUAACAACAAAUCAAGUUCCUUUCAUAGCACAGGUGUCGAUUAUACCAUAUAGUAGGCUAUGAAAGUGUCAAGUAUUUGUUGUACCAAGGGUUGUACAAUACAAAUCUAGAUUAAUUAUUUAACAAGUAAGGUAUUAAGAAUUAGUAAGAUAAAAAGAUAAGACAUGUUAAUAACAAACUUUCUUGGAUAUAAACAUUGAAGUCCAUGUUGAGUUUAUAUUAUAUCUAUUCUAACACCAUUAGUGAAAUCUUUUCACCUUGACAUAAUAAACUUAGCUAAACAUUGUGAAGAAGAGAAAACAUAAAUAAACUAGAUAAGAACAUAGUUAUGAUGAAAAGUAUAAACAAGAGAUUAUUAAAAGCAAAACUUAAACAUUACAAAAAUACAAAGAAAGAAAGCAAGAAGAUGAUCUUGAUCUGAAAACCAAGAGGCCUAAAUGCAUGAAAAAUGCCUCCUUUUAUAGGCCAAAAUUCAAAACUAUUGAUUUGAUGACUAAUUGUUGAGUGGGUGGCCACCUCUUCACUUGGUAACAAUCCUUAUCUUCUUGUCUGCAGAAAACGUCAUUGCUAACAUCAUAAUUUGAACAAAUAGUCUCAUGAAAGUUCUCGAAAAUUGUCUCAGCUUUCCAACAAAACAAGAAUGAGGUCAUGUGGACUUCUAGAACUCGAGAUAUGGGCUGAACACUGAACAAUGUCUGGGCUGCAGGAUAGAUUCUGACUUCUCUGUUGUUGCUAUAAUUUGAACUUGAAAAUGGUCCUUUUGAAUCUUGGACUCUCAUGAAAGUUUUAGGCCUAUGUCUUAGCUUUAUAUCCAUAUAAACCAGACCUAAAUCCAAGUUCUACAACUCUAGUUAUGAUCCAAUAACCGAAUGGUGUUUCAAUUUGAAUUCAACCAACAUCUCUUUUCUAAGCUUAGCCCUCUCUUUGUCUUCUUAAUUUCAGUAGUUAAACUCAUCAAUCAAUCCUUUGAUUUAUGUGAUAGGUCUGCAUUUAAAAUGAAUAUUUACCAUAAAUUAAAUGUAUCUUAUAUUAUCAGACUUGUUAUUAUAAAACAUGCUCUAGUUAAGGAGUUAUUGAUACUUCAAAUGCAAAAUGAUGAUAUAAAACCUUGAUAAAAAUACACUUUUAAGUACUAAUCAACAAUGGUCCUACCAUUAUCCAAGGUCACAACUAUAUUUAACUAGGCCUUAUUUAAUUUAUAAGACCUGGAAAAAAUUAAAUAUCUAUAUACCCAAAAGAGAAAGGAAAAAAAAAAGCCACAUGUUCUAUCUAGAAGGAAAAUUUGGUUCCUUUCUUCUCCUUUUUAAAAAUAACACUAUAUUUAGGAGUACUUACCAAUAAGUCUUCAAAUUGACCUAUAAUAAAUUAUAUGGAUGCACAAAGCUAACCUUUUGAGUAUAGGCUCCUAUCAAAGCCAAAUCAUAUAGAAAUAUAUAUAAUUUGCAUCCUAUACCUAAAUACAAAGAUGUUAUUUGAUUUGACUAAAAAAUGAUAAAGUUGUCACAUUUCCUUGCUAGGCUUAGUGGUAAUCCUAUAUAGUUGGAUUACGUCAAAGAUCUAUUAGCAUUUUCAUUCUUCAUCAAAGUGUGGUUUUAUUCUCUCUAUAUAUUGAGGUUCACUUGAUUUUUCUAGAGUGAAAGCCUUUCUCUAUAUAUCUAAGGCAAACAAGUUAUAUCUUUUUUAUAGAAUUUCUUCUUAAUAUUGUCCAAAGACAUUCUUGAAUCAAUAUUUUUAGGGAAAUGCUGAUUAUAGAUCAGUGUAAAUUAGUGAUACAAUCUAUGUAAUGCUAGAAGUGGGUGAUAAGAGAAGGGUUUUAUUUUGCAGAGCUUGAAGAUGUCAUUUAUGUGUUUAAAGAGAGAAGUAAGGUUAAGGUUUAUCCUCUUUUUUAGAAAUCUUUGGUUUCUUCAGAUAAGGAUUGGGAGCUUUUUAAAUAAAAUGAAAGGAUAGGAUGUUAAUUGAUUGAAUUGAUAAAUUAACUAUAAAUCAAAAUUAUAGUUAUUGUAACGGUAAUAUCAUGCCAAAAAGCUAGAAAACAUUUUAUUUUGAAAUUUCUUAAAUGUCUAACAUGUUAGACAAUGAAAUAUGGUGGAUAUUUUGGAAAAACAAUUCUUGAUUUUCCAUGUCAUUCAUGGUUAAUUUUAUGAUUGAUUGAAAUAUAAAAGGUAAAUCAAUAUUCUUUCAUUUAUAUUAAAUAAAGAAAUAUGGAUGCAUUAUUUAUGUCAAAGUUAAACCAUUCAUGUAUCAUGUGAUUAAGAACAAUAUAAUUUAUUGUUAGUUUUUAAGAAAAAUAACGAAGAAAAAUAAAAUUAAAUAUCAACCAAUAAAGAAGGUUAAGUUCGAAAAUCAUCUAAGAGAUUAAGUUUCACAUUAAGUGAUUGAUUAAUCCUAUAUAAAAAAGAACUUAACUUAUGGAUAUUAUAAAUUGAUAUAAGCAUAUGUUAUUAUAAAGAUGUCUGCCAGAAAAAUAGUAAAUAAGUGCAAGUUAUGCUAGGAUUAAUAUUGUACAAUCUUUAUAUGUUAUAAAUUGUUUGUUUAAGAUUAAGAUUUUAUAUUUAUGUGAGAUUUUAUCUCAAUAAAAAUAUAAAUAUAUCAUUUAAUAGCUUAAAAUAAUGGUUAGUGUUAUAUACAUAAUUUAUUAUGCAAUUUACUCAUAAUUUUAUGCUAUUUAUUGCUUUCUUUUAUGUAUGACAAUAUAUUUCUUUUCCUUAUACAUUUUACUAGUCAUAUUACACGUGCUUGAAUUCAGGUCGAAUCAAAAGUUAAUUUUUAACAUAAAUGAAUGUUCAAGCGUUUUAAGUGUGUUUUUUAGAAUAUACAAAUAGAAAAGACCAUAAACCAAAAGAAAAUGACCACACAUGCAAAGUUGCAAAUAUAAUCCACGGUGAACUAGAAGGAGGUGAGCAGUGGAGCACGUUAUAGUGAAAUCAUCGGAUCUUUUAGUAUUUCCUGCAAUUAUAAUUUACGAAUUCAAGAUAUAGUGAAAUCAAAGCUUGUUUUUCUUUUUCUUUUUUUUCUUAACAUAUUGAAGUCAAGUUACGAAUUCUUUGAUCAAGAUUAAGUGUCUAAUUAUAAUUUUUCGUUGUUGGAUAAUCAAUGAUCACUUUAUUUAUUAGAUCAACAAAUGAAAAUAAUUAAAUAAGGCAUUUAAAUGAGAAAAAAUGGAUUGACAUUACUCUUUAUUUAUUAAAUCAUAUACUUUACCAUCAAAGAAUAAUAAUAUCUUACAACCAUGAAACAGGCAGUCAAUUCACCAUUACAUCUUACGUGUCCUCUAAGGAAUUUGUUUUUUUCACAAUACGUAGGGAAUUAAGGAAGAAAAUGCCUACAAUGCUACAUCAAAAAGAAAGCUUCACAGCCGUCCAAUAAAUAAACACAAAUGAGAGGGGAAAGAACACAAAAGAUUAGCUUUGAACAGUCGUUCAACAAAAAGCUCCAAGGUGCUUCAUCUUUGACCAAAGAGAUUGGAAAUGACAGCACAUAAUGAUCUUGAAUAGAGUGAUCAUGUUAAAGUUUUAAAGCAGCAGAAGAAUGGUGAUGAGCAUAGCCAAAUUGGGCAGGAAGAUGCACGCACCAAUCUUGGGCAGCCCAUUUGGAGCUCCUGGUGGUACUGCUGUAGCUCCACCACCUGGAACUGGGGGGGGACUUGCUGUAUGAGAGGGCAAGGGUCCCUCCACAACAUCAGGUGCAGUUAACACUGGGUUUGGAGGCUCAGCUGGGGGCAAGGCAAAAGGUGAGAUUAGCUGCAUGAGACCGCCAGGCUGAGCAGGGCUCAUGUAAGAAGGUAAUUCCUUGCCCAAGCAUCGGUUCCCUGCAAUAAAAUGGAGCAAUGUGUUACUAAAUGGCAAACAGAUAUCACUACAUGUCUGGUGGAUAUAUUUAUUAUGGAAUUUCCAUAAAAUCUGAAAUGAGACUAACACAAAUAAUGGCAGUUAAAUAUACUCUCAAGUCAUAUUGUAUGAUCCUAACCUGAUUUCUACAUCUAACAUGUAAUAUGCGAAUCUAUUUUUCUCAGCCUAGUACAGCAUGAAAUUAAACUGACAUUUUCAUGAGAACAAGAUCAUCUAAGGAAUAAUUUGUCCAGAACAUACAACAUCGUCCAGGAUUCACUCUGUAUUGUUGCAUGUAAACUAGAAACAUCAGUGACUUACUCUUGUAUCUGGCAGAAGUCAGAGGGAAUUCUGUGAUAACACCGCUGAUGUUGGCUCCCAUGACGUAGGAGUUAAUUUCAACUGUUGAAUCUGAGAAGAAGUCCCAUGCCUGAGAUACAAACUCAUUGCUGAAAGUUUCCACAUAAACUGAGAGCCCAUGCGAUUGCAGCUUUGGCACAACAUUUGUAACACCACUGAGGAAUGAAGAACUUUCAGGAAAGACAGAAGCCUUGCUGAUGACCACCGAACUAGCAAAGUCUUUGAUGUCCUUCAGUGCUGCAUCUUCAGCAUCUUGAAUAUCCUCUUCAAUCCGGUACACAAGCUCAUAAUUGCUUUCGUCCCUAAAUUUCAUUAGAACUGAGCUGUUGGUGGACUCAAUCAUAACUUUCUUGGAAGUUGGAUCAUCAUAACCAGCUAAGCUCAAGACUUCAAGUACUUUGUCAGUAACGGGUAAUCCCUCUUUCUCUAUAAGAUAGGCUGCAUUCUGAAAUGAACAGAACAGACAACAAACAUCAGUCAGGGUGGGAACAACCUUCAUUUUUUCAAUGUGGACAAAAAUAAUAAUCACAUAUUCUUCUUCUUUUUGGCUGCUGUUGAAGACCUUAUUCUAUUAUUCUAUGAGAGAAAUCCUCAGGCGUGCAAUUAUAGCUCAAAGGUCUGUACUAAGCAUGUGAGCUACUCAUGAGACUAGAAGGAUGGCAGGAAGUUACGCCAAAGGAUGCGGUUAAUACAACCACAGGAACCAAUGUCAUCUUUAUUGCUACUAAAGAAAUGAAAAUGCAGAUUGCUAGCAGAUGAGAUAACUGAUAUGAGCAACCAUUGAAUAUGAUGGUCCAUUAAGUUUCAUCACCCAUGGAAACUAACACCACGUGUGAAAUGGUUUCCAAGUUGGGGAAGAAACAUAGAAGAGAUAAUAUGUUCCACUGACAGAACUAACCAAUUAAGCACUGCUUUGUUUACUAAUAAGGUGUAGUGUGAUGAUAAAUUUGAUUUUGAUAACAUGCUUUCCAUCCAACAGGAAAAAUGUAAAAUUUCCACAAACAAUCAAAGGAAUAUUAAGUGCAAGCAGUUUAUGCAAGUUCAAAUCAGAUGAUUCAAACGAAGGAUCAUGUACAAGUAAUGUGAGCUUAGCAAAAACCCACCUCAAUGCUAAUCAAGACACCAGAAAGCGAGCUAGUGUUCUUCGCCAAUGCUAAGAAAUCAGACAAUGUUAGAAAAUUCCCUGAAUUUCUGAAUUUGGGAUUCCGCAACAAGUAAUAUUUUGAAUAUGGAUUGGACAUCACCGCUACAAUGCAAAAAGAAAAAGAUCAAUACAAAAUCAUUAUCUUCAAUGAAAACAUUUGGACAAUCAUACAUCCACAAAUAAACAUAAAAUGGAAUUCAAACAACAACUAGAUUACAAAGCAGAAUUUAGAGUUGGGCAGGAGUCAAAAAAAAAAAGUGCAGAGGAAUAUUUCUGUUCCUUUUCUCACAAAAUUCUACCUUUCAAAAUGUAAAGAGAGCAAAAUCAAAAGAAUGGUGCCAGGCAAAGGACAUUUGCGUUUAGUAUUGUUCCAAGAAUUGUAAUCUCUGUAAUUCUUUUCAUGUAUUUAUUCUCAAAUCUCAAGUGGUGAGAAUAGCUGGUUAUGAGAUCUUGUCUUGUGACUCCCACGACCAAGACAUUAUUCCUUUGAGCCCUAGAUGGAUGUGUUUUUUUGGCUGGCCACUCUUUAUUUCUCUUCCUCAAUGUCCUAAAUUAUUUUAACUUUGCGAUCCAGUACUGAGCAUUCUAUUUUAACAGAAUGUGAGGAUUGAGUAAUGCCCCUCCACGUAAUUGUUUGUUCAUAGGCCAAGAUUUUUUCCCCCACUAAAAGGAAAAAAAAUUUAUAAAAAAAAUCAUGUUUUAUUGGGAAGGGGGUGCAACAGAAGAUUGAAAAAGCAAAAGAAGUAAAAGCCAACCAGUUUGAACUUACGAAUUAAGUUCUGAAUCUCACUCCAUGUUAAGCUAAAGGUGAAUAUCCCACUGCCUGCCUUAAUCUGUGGAAUAUUCUGUUCACGAUUGCUGUAAAUUGAUUGGGCAACUGUUGUACUGUCAUAAAGAUUUAUAGAGCCUAAGCAAAAUGGUAUCCCGUCUUUUGAUAUUUGAACAGGACAAUCAAUAACAUCAGCACCAUCUAAAAUAGCUUUCUGGUAAGCCAAAUCAGUGCAACCAGGGUAGUCUCCACUUGCACCAUUUUUUGAGAUGACCGAAAGGUUCACUGAAACAUGAGAAAAGGAGGACAGAAGAGCUAAGUACUAAUGUUCAAAAAAUGCAAUAUCCUUUGAAGUUAAAUCUCAUAUAAAAAGAAUCAGAAAAUAAUUUUGCACCUUGAGGUGUAGCAUUCUUGCCUAGACCAGAAAAACAAGCUGCAAUACAGAAGGAGAAAUCAGAAUCUCAAAAUAUUUAUUCUCCAUAUUAGGAGAAAUAUCCAGACAGGCAUUAUAAUCUUUAACUCCAACCGAAAGAUUACAGCUAGGAUAAGAAGAGAAAUUGUCUCAAUGGUUCUGAGUCAAUGAUAACAGCAGUCACAGUACUAAACCUUUUAAGUUCGAACAAAAUUUGAAUCAUGCAGUGAUAAGGAAUCAAGUAUCAAGCAUGUUCUGACAUGAGAAGCUAGUAGUAGCAACAGUUGAAAGUUGAUGGUAGGCAGGCUAACAACUGCUCCCAUAAAGAAAUUACUGCUAAAUGUCCAGUUAUUUAAGUUGAAAAAUACUAGAUUGAACCAAUAGUUCACGGUUUGUUCAGAUCCAUGAUGCUUAAAGAGAAGGAUUACAGCUUACCAAUAGUCGCAGAUGGAGUUACUGGAAAGUCAGAGAGCACACCAUCAACAGAGAAGUCACCAUUGUCAACAAAACUGAGAUACUCAGUUACAGGAUCAUAACUGUAAUUGUAACUCAGUUGGGCGUCAUUAUAAAAAUCUGAUACAAAAACCUCUAGCCCUGCCUUGUGUGCAUCCGAGACGAUAGAAGUCUGAGGUUGUAAGUAAUUACUUGCAUCUAAAGGCCAUAUGUAUGACUUAGGGAUAAGAAUUCCAGAUGCAAAUGUCUUGAUGAAAGUAAAGUUCUUUGAGAGAGAACCAUAUGUCUCAUUUGUUGAUGGCUCGAUGACAUUUGGUUCCAGAAACCGAAAGACCAGUUUUGUUAUAUUUAGGUUAAAUCUCUUAACAAUACUUCUCAAGAAACCCGCUUCUGGUGAUGAAAGAUGAUUAAUGACAACCCUUCUGGAUAGAGACAGUACGUAGAUUCUCAUACUCAAAUUGUGCUGUGUGAAGAAUGCAUCAUGCUGCAAAAGUAUCAG